Molecule: ribosomal RNA, 113 nt
Filed under: Acanthosepion pharaonis
Lineage: Eukaryota; Metazoa; Mollusca; Cephalopoda; Sepiida; Sepiidae
Source: RNAcentral
UUACGACCACAUCACGUUGAAACAUCGGUUCCCGUACGAUCACCGGAGUUAAGCAACGUCAAGCCCGGACAGUACCUAGAUGGGUAACCGCUUCGGAAUACUAAGUAUUGCAA